RNAcentral lists this ribosomal RNA (459 nucleotides) under uncultured bacterium. RNAcentral describes it as "partial 16S ribosomal RNA". It matches the Rfam family "Bacterial small subunit ribosomal RNA", at positions 338 to 795 of the family's 1533-position model. The record is from RNAcentral.
CCUACGGGGGACAGCAGUGAGGAAUAUUGGUCAAUGGCCGGAAGGCUGAACCAGCCAAGCCGCGUGAAGGACGAAGGUGCCAAUCAUUGUAAACUUCUUUUGUCAAGGGACAAAAUCAGGCUCGAGAGCCUGACCGAGGGUACUUGAAGAAAAAGCAUCAGCUAACUCCGUGCCAUCCUCCGCGGUAAUACGGAGAAUGCGAGCGUUAUCCGGAUUUAUUGGGUUUAAAGGGUGCGUAGGCGGGCUGUUAAGUCAGCGGUAAAAGCCCGGGGCUCAACCCCGGCGAGCCGGUGAAACUGGCUGUCUGGAGAUGUCGAGAGGUAUGCGGAAUGCGCAGUGUAGCGGUGAAAUGCUUAGAUAUUGCGCAGAACUCCGAUUGCGAAGGCAGCAUACCGGCGGCGAUCUGACGCUGAGGCACGAAAGCGUGGGUAUCGAACAGGAUUAGAUACCCGGGUAGUC